Molecule: ribosomal RNA, 21 nt
Filed under: Ficus hirta
Lineage: Eukaryota; Viridiplantae; Streptophyta; Magnoliopsida; Rosales; Moraceae
Description: partial 28S ribosomal RNA
Source: RNAcentral
CAACGCGACCCNAGUCAGGCG